Molecule: transfer RNA, 71 nt
Filed under: Armatimonadota bacterium
Lineage: Bacteria; Bacillati; Armatimonadota
Description: Armatimonadetes bacterium (fermentation metagenome) tRNA-Gly
Rfam family: tRNA
About the family: Transfer RNA (tRNA) molecules are approximately 80 nucleotides in length. Their secondary structure includes four short double-helical elements and three loops (D, anti-codon, and T loops).
Source: RNAcentral
GCGGGAGUAGCUCAAUGGUAGAGCUCCAGCCUUCCAAGCUGAUGGCGCGGGUUCGAUUCCCGUCUCCCGCU